RNAcentral lists this non-coding RNA (22 nucleotides) under Rattus norvegicus (Norway rat). The record is from RNAcentral. Lineage: Eukaryota; Metazoa; Chordata; Mammalia; Rodentia; Muridae.
UUAGGAAGUUGCUUAGUAGCCU